Balaenoptera ricei (Rice's whale) is the source of this 526-nucleotide long non-coding RNA. RefSeq lists it as uncharacterized. The transcript has 3 exons. Lineage: Eukaryota; Metazoa; Chordata; Mammalia; Artiodactyla; Balaenopteridae. The record is from RefSeq and is a predicted model, not a curated record.
GCGGCGGCGAGGGGUCGGGCGCUUCUACUGCGGCGGUCGGGCGUGGCCCCGGGCCUGGGCGCGGCCUAACGUUGGGUGGACAGGGCCAGCGUGGGACAUCAUCCCACAGGACCCGGGAGCGCCGCGAAGGCGGUCUCCUUAAAGCCAAACAGUUGCAGAGGACAGCCUAGUACUUGCAGGGCAAAGACUGCCAUUUUCAGGACAAAACAAUGAUAUCCCACAGACCAUUUUGCUGUGCAGACAGGAGAGUGAAAGGCUGAAAGAUGAAGAGGAGCACCAGCUGAAGACAACUGCAAUCACAGCCCUGUUAGAUGCAGUGAGUGAAGGACUUGCUGCUGCCAUGAACUUUUGGGGGCAGUGGGAAGGGAAGCAUCUGCGUGCAUUGGUAACUUUGCCAAAGUCUCAUUAAUCAUUCAACUAGGCUUUAAGUCCAUGAGGGCAAGAACUGUAUUAUGUGUAUCAUCAUAUCUUCACGCUAGCACAGUGCCUGGCACAGCACGUACUGAAUGAAUAAAGGAUACCUCCU